UGCGUAGGCGGCGCGGAAAGUUGGGUGUGAAAUCCCUCGGCUCAACCGAGGAACUGCGCCCAAAACUACCGUGCUCGAGGGAGAUAGAGGUGAGCGGAACUUAGGGUGGAGCGGUGAAAUGCGUUGAUAUCCUAAGGAACACCCGUGGCGAAAGCGGCUCACUGGGUCUCUUCUGACGCUGAGGCACGAAAGCUAGGGUAGCGAACG
Molecule: ribosomal RNA, 207 nt
Filed under: uncultured bacterium
Lineage: Bacteria
Description: partial 16S ribosomal RNA
Rfam family: Bacterial small subunit ribosomal RNA
Source: RNAcentral